AGCAGCCGCGGUAAUUCCAGCUCCAAUAGCGUAUAUUAAAGUUGUUGCAGUUAAAAAGCUCGUAGUUGAAUUUCGGGGUNAGUAGGUUGGUCAUGCCNCUGGUAUGUACUGGUCUCACUGAUUCCUCCUUCCUGAUGAGCCGUAAUGCCAUUAAUUUGGUGUUGCGGGGAAUNUGGACUGUUACUUUGAAAAAAUUAGAGUGUUUAAAGCANGCUAACGCUUGAAUACAUUAGCAUGGAAUAAUGAAAUAGGACGUUCGAUCCUAUUUUGUUGGUUUCUAGGAUUGACGUAAUGAUUAAUAGGGAUAGUUGGGGGCAUUAGUAUUCAAUUGUCAGAGGUGAAAUUCUUGGAUUUAUUGAAGACUAACUACUGCGAAAGCAUUUGCCAAGGAUGUUUUCAUUAAUCAAGAACGAAAGUUAGGGGAUCGAAGACGAUCAGAUACCGUCGUAGUCUUAACCAUAAACUAUGCCGACUAGGGAUCGGAUGAUGUUAAUUUUUUAAUGACUCA
This 508-nucleotide ribosomal RNA is filed under the name uncultured Glomus. RNAcentral describes it as "SSU rRNA". It matches the Rfam family "Eukaryotic small subunit ribosomal RNA", at positions 569 to 1078 of the family's 1831-position model. The record is from RNAcentral. Lineage: Eukaryota; Fungi; Glomeromycota; Glomeromycetes; Glomerales; Glomeraceae.